This is a long non-coding RNA of Hyla sarda, 339 nucleotides long. RefSeq lists it as uncharacterized. The record is from RefSeq and is a predicted model, not a curated record. The transcript is spliced from 3 exons. Lineage: Eukaryota; Metazoa; Chordata; Amphibia; Anura; Hylidae.
GGCAGCUUUUCCUCUGCACAGGUUUUGAUAAAUCUCCCCCAAUGUUUUUUCCAUUCAGGAACAAAUAUUUUGAAUAGACUUUCCCAUAGUUACUCACAAAAGCUCAAUAAAAUCUGGUGACUGGGCUAGCCAGGGAAGAUGCUGAACAUCAUGCUCCUCGAUACAAGAUUGCAUCACUACCUGGAAACAUAGUCUUGGACCAUGGGAUGGAGUUGAACACUUAGAAUUUUCAGGUUUUAUCUUCAAGUCACAGCUGGCGAUGGAAAAUGGCCUACGAUCAGGGAAGCUGAAGGCACAAAUGCCCGUUGGGGACUCGGCAGCUGGCAUACUGAUUCAGCG